Molecule: ribosomal RNA, 687 nt
Filed under: Faecalibacterium prausnitzii
Lineage: Bacteria; Bacillati; Bacillota; Clostridia; Eubacteriales; Oscillospiraceae
Description: bacterial SSU rRNA
Rfam family: Bacterial small subunit ribosomal RNA
Source: RNAcentral
GUGAGGAAGAUAAUGACGGUACUCAACAAGGAAGUGACGGCUAACUACGUGCCAGCAGCCGCGGUAAAACGUAGGUCACAAGCGUUGUCCGGAAUUACUGGGUGUAAAGGGAGCGCAGGCGGGAAGACAAGUUGGAAGUGAAAUCCAUGGGCUCAACCCAUGAACUGCUUUCAAAACUGUUUUUCUUGAGUAGUGCAGAGGUAGGCGGAAUUCCCGGUGUAGCGGUGGAAUGCGUAGAUAUCGGGAGGAACACCAGUGGCGAAGGCGGCCUACUGGGCACCAACUGACGCUGAGGCUCGAAAGUGUGGGUAGCAAACAGGAUUAGAUACCCUGGUAGUCCACACCGUAAACGAUGAUUACUAGGUGUUGGAGGAUUGACCCCUUCAGUGCCGCAGUUAACACAAUAAGUAAUCCACCUGGGGAGUACGACCGCAAGGUUGAAACUCAAAGGAAUUGACGGGGGCCCGCACAAGCAGUGGAGUAUGUGGUUUAAUUCGACGCAACGCGAAGAACCUUACCAAGUCUUGACAUCCUGCGACGRACAUAGAAAYAKUUYUUUCCUUCGGGACGCAGAGACAGGUGGUGCAUGGUUGUCGUCAGCUCGUGUCGUGAGAUGUUGGGUUAAGUCCCGCAACGAGCGCAACCCUUAUGGUCAGUUACUACGCAAGAGGACUCUGGCCAGACUGC